CGAUUGGUUCUAUUCUGUUGGUUUCUAGGACCAUCGUAAUGAUUAAUAGGGACGGUCGGGGGCAUCAGUAUUCAGUUGUCAGAGGUGAAAUUCUUGGAUUUACUGAAGACUAACUACUGCGAAAGCAUUUGUCAAGGACGUUUUCAUUAAUCAAGAACGAAAGUUAGGGGAUCGAAGAUGAUCAGAUACCGUCGUAGUCUUAACCAUAAACUAUGCCGACUAGGGAUCGGGCGGUGCCUUUUAUUGGCCCACUCGGCACCUUACGAGAAAUCAAAGUUUUUGGGUUCUGGGGGGAGUAUGGUCGCAAGGCUGAAACUUAAAGGAAUUGACGGAAGGGCACCACCAGGAGUGGAGCCUGCGGCUUAAUUUGACUCAACACGGGGAAACUCACCAGGUCCAGACACAAUAAGGAUUGACAGAUUGAGAGCUCUUUCUUGAUUUUGUGGGUGGUGGUGCAUGGCCGUUCUUAGUUGGUGGAGUGAUUUGUCUGCUUAAUUGCGAUAACGAACGAGACCUUAACCUACUAAAUAGUGCUGCUAGCUUUUGCUGGUAUAGUCACUUCUUAGAGGGACUAUCGAUUUCAAGUCGAUGGAAGUUUGAGGCAAUAACAGGUCUGUGAUGCCCUUAGACGUUCUGGGCCGCACGCGCGCUACACUGACGGAGCCAACGAGUAUUAACCUUGGCCGAGAGGUCUGGGAAAUCUUGUGAAACUCCGUCGUGC
This 721-nucleotide ribosomal RNA is filed under the name uncultured fungus. Its description in RNAcentral is "SSU rRNA". It matches the Rfam family "Eukaryotic small subunit ribosomal RNA", at positions 827 to 1570 of the family's 1831-position model. Lineage: Eukaryota; Fungi. The record is from RNAcentral.